GACGAACGCUGGCGGCGUGCUUAACACAUGCAAGUCGAACGGAAAGGCCCUGCUUUUGUGGGGUGCUCGAGUGGCGAACGGGUGAGUAACACGUGAGUAACCUGCCCUUGACUUUGGGAUAACUUCAGGAAACUGGGGCUAAUACCGGAUAGGAGCUCCUGCUGCAUGGUGGGGGUUGGAAAGUUUCGGCGGUUGGGGAUGGACUCGCGGCUUAUCAGCUUGUUGGUGGGGUAGUGGCUUACCAAGGCUUUGACGGGUAGCCGGCCUGAGAGGGUGACCGGCCACAUUGGGACUGAGAUACGGCCCAGACUCCUACGGGAGGCAGCAGUGGGGAAUAUUGCACACUGGGCGGAAGCCUGAUGCAGCAACGCCGCGUGCGGGAUGACGGCCUUCGGGUUGUAAACCGCUUUCGCCUGUGACGAAGCGUGAGUGACGGUAAUGGGUAAAGAAGCACCGGCUCACUACGUG
RNAcentral lists this ribosomal RNA (468 nucleotides) under uncultured bacterium. Its description in RNAcentral is "partial 16S ribosomal RNA". It matches the Rfam family "Bacterial small subunit ribosomal RNA", at positions 28 to 507 of the family's 1533-position model. The record is from RNAcentral.